Molecule: transfer RNA, 71 nt
Filed under: Epinephelus undulosus (wavy-lined grouper)
Lineage: Eukaryota; Metazoa; Chordata; Actinopteri; Perciformes; Serranidae
Description: tRNA-Tyr
Rfam family: tRNA
About the family: Transfer RNA (tRNA) molecules are approximately 80 nucleotides in length. Their secondary structure includes four short double-helical elements and three loops (D, anti-codon, and T loops).
Source: RNAcentral
GGUAAGAUGGCUGAAUGUUUAAGCGGUGGAUUGUAGCCCCAUAGACAGAGGUUUGAUUCCUCUUCUUACCA